Molecule: ribosomal RNA, 258 nt
Filed under: uncultured bacterium
Lineage: Bacteria
Description: partial 16S ribosomal RNA
Rfam family: Bacterial small subunit ribosomal RNA
Source: RNAcentral
UGGCGGACGGGUGAGUAACGCGUGGAAAACCUGCCGUAUACUGGGGGAUAACACUUAGAAAUAGGUGCUAAUACCGCAUAAGCGCACAGCUUCGCAUGAAGCGGUGUGAAAAACUCUGGUGGUAUACGAUGGUUCCGCGUCUGAUUAGCUAGUUGGUGGGGUAAUGGCUUACCAAGGCAACGAUCAGUAGCCGGCCUGAGAGGGUGAACGGCCACAUUGGGACUGAGACACGGCCCAAACUCCUACGGAAGGCAGCAG